Molecule: non-coding RNA, 2303 nt
Organism: Bactrocera oleae (olive fruit fly)
Lineage: Eukaryota; Metazoa; Arthropoda; Insecta; Diptera; Tephritidae
Source: RefSeq, a predicted model, not a curated record
UUAUCCAUUUCCAUAAGUUGAUAUCUCAGCUUGCCCUGAAAAUACUGUAACUUUAAAAAAUCAUACGAAAUUAAAGUCAAGAGAACUUGAAUAUUAUUGUUAUUGUGUAUUUGUGGCAUUUAGAAAAUAUGGAUGUUGAGCGAAAUUUGCUGGAAACACCCGUGACUGGAAAACAAAGGCUGAGUACUCUACAAAAGUUCACUCUCUGUCUAUUUUCCGCACUUUUGAUCUUCACUGUUAUCAUUUUACUUGGCCAAUCACAUCAAUUAGAUAUCGAAAGGAAGACCGUCUCGUUCAGAUCUUAAAUGUUGAAGCAAUAUAAUUUAAGCGCUACAGUUUAUUUAUGUAAAGGACUGUUUGGUUUUAUUUUGACCGGAGUUGGCGUAUUCUUUUUGCUCACAUUCAGUAUUUCGACGGUUCUAUCAAUGGAAUUCUUAAUCGAAUGCUUCGACAUAUUUUUCAGAAGUAUUAUCGAAUUUUUCAAUUUAGACGAUCAAUUGCUUAAAACAGUUAUUCCACAAGAGAAGCAUCACUAUAUUUCAAUGUUAAUUUCUUUUGAAUGCUAAAAGUUAUAAGAUGGUAACAUUGGUAAAGGCUAACAGGUAUCUUAGAAUACCUCAUAAUGGGAAACAUUCGAAAUAAUUCUCGACAAGCAGAAGAAAGAAUCAUAACCGAAACUAUACUAUUCUAUGGGAAGGGCGUUAUACAUAACAGAGGUCUUAGUUAUCAGUGGUGGGGCUAAGAAAAAAUAUCAAUAACAAAGUUAGUUAAUAAGUAGGAAAUAUUCUUAACAAUGGCAGUAUUUUACCUCAGUCAGAAAUCCAAAGUAAAAACAAAUCUCCAAAAUUAAAAUACCCAAACUCAAAAAAAAAAUUCUAAGCUAAAGGACCCGGUGUUGGAUUAGUUGGAUUAAUUAUAAAAAAAUAACCUAUAGAUGCACAUUCCAUGUAUAGUAGACUAGCGUAUGUUCAAGGAUUCCAUGAAGAACAAGAGAAUUCGCAAAAGAAAUCUACCUGGCAUUACUCAAUAGACAGACAUUGGUGAAGUCGGAAAAAACCAUGCUCAACUCGUAUACAACAUUAUAGUUAUUAUAGUCAUAGAAAUUGAAAAAAAAGAGAUUAUAACAUAAGAGCCAACUUCCAUUAAACUAAUUCAAUCGCACACGAGUAAUCGGCAGAAGAAAAACAACAAUUGAUGCAACGAUAGGGACCGUUGGUGAAAAUCUCAUUUUAUUUAUAAAUUACCAAUAUACUCAAGUCAACACCGGCUACGGCUGUUAGACGGGAUGGCAGUGUGAAGUAUGUGCCCGAGUAUGCCACCUGCCCGGUAAGCGCUUGCGUGUGGGACUUGAUUGGAUUUAGUGACAUGCGGCAGGGGAACGGUAACUGCUCGCAGUGAUUGGGAACAAAAUUGAUGGCUCCCCACUGAUAGGAAAUCCGGAAGCCACACACAACGUUGAUAUUGUUGGAUAUACCUACAAAUGUAUAUACUUAACCCACCGGUUAUAUAUCAAGGUAGAUGGAUCUCUUUUGCAUAUAGAAUGACAUGUACUAGUGGUAUGGCAGAAGAGUGGCAGCCGCAAGUCCACAGCAUCAACUUGAAGCCAAUGAGGCACUGUCUCGCCGCAUUUUUCAGUUUCGCUGCAAUGACAAGCAAAACAACACAGAAUAAACACAUUUAAGUUGUAAAUUGAAUUUCGCAAAAUCCGUACGAACCCGCAGAGUUCUACAGUAGCUGGCAACUUUUAUUCAUCCUUGGUCGGCUCAAGCUGCAUAAAAAGGAUCAACAGCUAUGCCACUAACCGCACGAAAGAGAAUAUCUGAUUAGUUGACUGGUUGACUAAGGUUGUUAAAAUCUCCGAUGGACGUUGACGCUUUUCUCUACUUAAUUCAACGUGACUUUAUUUAUGCUUUAGUAUGUGUGGAGGAGUAAAGACAUAAAACAAGCAGAGUACUACUGUAAACAGAUGAUAAUGUUAAUGUGAGAUGAAGAAGGUAGUGAGGCGUGUUUGUCGAUCGAAAAAUAGUUAAAACAAAGGCCCUAAAGUUUUUAAAGAUUGAAUGUGCGAAACUCUUACUAAAAAGUGCGAUAGAUCUUAAGACCGGAGUAUAUUUCGAUUGAAAAGAAGACGGUGAUGACGAUGGCGAUAGAAUUGUGUUUCUAUUAAUAGAGGAUCAGGGAUUUGGAGUGGGAAAGAGUGGUAACCGUUUAAUUACUCGUCGAUGCCGUCAAAUUCAUACUUCAUACCAGAAUCCAUCGAUGAAAUUGUGUGAAUGUUAAACCUUAUACGGUAUAUAGAACCC